GACGAACGCUGGCGGCGUGCUUAACACAUGCAAGUCGAACGGAAGGGCCCCUUUUGGCGUACUCGAGGGGAGAACGGGUGGGUAACACGUGAGUAACCUGCCCUUCACUUCGGGAUAACUUCAGGAAACUGGGGCGAAUACCGGAUCGGAAUACUUGCUGCAUGGUGGGGGGUGGAAAGCUUCGGCGGCUUUGGGUGGGCUCGCGUCGUAACAGCUUGUUGGGGUGGUAGUGGGUUGCCAAGGCGUUGGCGGGUAGCCGGCCUGAGAGAGUGACAGGCCACACUGGGUCUGAGGGGCGGCCGAGGCGGCGACGGGAGGCAGCAGUGGGGAAGAUUGCACCAUGGGCGGAAGCCGGAUGCAGCAAGGCCGCGUGCGGGAUGACGGUCUUCGGGGUGUAGACCGCGUUCAGCAGGAGCGAAGCUUGUGGUGACGGUACCUGCAGAAGAAGCACCGGCUAACUACGUG
This 465-nucleotide ribosomal RNA is filed under the name uncultured bacterium. RNAcentral describes it as "partial 16S ribosomal RNA". It matches the Rfam family "Bacterial small subunit ribosomal RNA", at positions 28 to 507 of the family's 1533-position model. The record is from RNAcentral.